Molecule: ribosomal RNA, 466 nt
Filed under: uncultured bacterium
Lineage: Bacteria
Description: bacterial SSU rRNA
Rfam family: Bacterial small subunit ribosomal RNA
Source: RNAcentral
UCCAGACUCCUACGGGAGGCAGCAGUGAGGAAUAUUGGUCAAUGGGCGAGAGCCUGAACCAGCCAAGUCGCGUGAGGGAUGACUGCCCUAUGGGUUGUAAACCUCUUUUGUAUGGGGGGAAUAAGCUUUACGAGUAGAGUGAUGACAGUACCAUACGAAUAAGCAUCGGCUAACUCCGUGCCGGCAGCCGCGGUAAUACGGAGGAUGCGAGCGUUAUCCGGAUUUAUUGGGUUUAAAGGGUGCGUAGGCGGCAUUAUAAGUUAGUGGUAAAAUAUUGGGGCUUCACCUCACUACGCCAUUAAUACUGUAGAGCUAGAGAACAGACGAGGUAGGCGGAAUAAGUUAAGUAGCGGUGAAAUGCAUAGAUAUCGCGCAGAACCCCGAUUGCGAAGGCAGCGUACCGGCUCCACACUGACGCUGAGGCACGAAAGCGUGGGUAUCGAACAGGAUUAGAUACCCUCGUACG